UCAGAUACUCGUAUUACAUUUUUAUUAUUAUUAAAUCAAUAAGUAAAUAAUUAAAAGAAAAUAGUAGAUAAAUAAUAGUACAACAGACUAAUAUACUUACUUUUUAUAAUUAUUUUAAUUAAUAAUCAAGCAAAAAUAAAAUAAUACGUAAAAAUGUAAUUAGUUUAUACUUAGAAAAAAUAUUCACCUAAAAUUAUGUAAAUCAUGCCACUAUAAAGAUUUAUUUUGUUACAGAAUAUGACAUUAAGACUGGGAAAUCAAAAUAAAUAGAAAUCCAUUGACUGUACAUUCACGCUUGAAUUAAAAAAAUUUACCUACAUACGUUUUUACAAUACGUACCUACCUAUAUACAAUUUAUACAUUUGUACAAACGUGUUAAAAAUGUAUGCCACAUCGGAAAAUUCCCAAUUUUUUAUGACUAGGGAAGAAAAAAUGUUUCCUCAAAUCCACGCACGUGAAAAACAACCUUUUCAAAUGCAAGAGAAUUGCUUGCAAUGCAGUAAAUAUUUGCAUUUAAAAAUUUGCUAAAAUAUUUUUUUUAUGUAGAUAGAACUGGAGACUUCUACUAUCCAAUUCGUAUAAAAAAUUGAAUUUUACGGGUAAACUGAUGAUUUUAGAAAUUGUCAUAUAAAAUCGUGUGAAUUGUAUACUAUAAACAUUUGAAUUUGAUGUGGGAGUGAUGAGAGGAAUAUAAUAUAUAAAAUUUGUAUUAUACCACAUCACAAUAAUCUGCUAUAUAUCCUUCUGUGUACAGCCCAAAACAUGCAUUAUAUCUUAGGCUUGCAUUUAUAAAUAAUACAUAAAUCUACAGUGUAAAUCAACGUAGGUAACUCACAUACAUAGAAAAUGACUUACCUACUACCAAUAACCGCUCUCAAACAUUUCAUCUUGUCUUAAUUACAUCCAAACUAUUACAUUAAAAAAAUGAACCCUCAGUGACUAGUUUUCUUUCUUUACAAGAGCUAGUGGUGUAUAGUACCUAAUUAUACAUAUCUUUCCCUCAUGUCCAUCAAAAAUACAUGUUAAAAUUUUCUUUUUCCAAAUACCACAUUUUUUUUAAUAUUAUAUAAUAUGACAACUAUUUUAUACUUCCUCAAAAAAUCUAACCGUGGUCCGUGAGUGUAAGCCUCGCUGGUUUAUUAUAUUUAAAUAGGUAUAUAAUAAAAUUGUAUAUGUAAUACAUCGAUUUUAAAAAAAAUGCAGUUAUUUAAAUAAAAAGUAUUUUUUUUAUGACUGAAUAAACGUAUUAUUAAUAUAACUAUAGAUAAAAUUAUUAAACUAAAAUAAUAAUUUAGUGUAACGAGAAAAAUUCGUUUUCUUUACCAUUAGUAUCGCUGUUAUCUGGUUUGAUUGUAAUUAUUACGAUGGGCUCCAGCAUAAAAUCUCGAAGAAUCUCUGUUUUAUUAUCCUUAUUGUCUUGUAUCGUCUCUGUGUGUCAGAUGCACUUCUUCUAAUUAGACUUGGUGAUUGAAUCCAGUGCUUCGUUGAUUGAACAUUUAUCGAUAUCCACCAUUUUAAAUAUUCUAUAUUUUUCUUGGAAAUCUGUCCCUUAAGCUAAGCCCAUAUCAAUUCUAUAGAAUUAUAUUAAUAAUGACAUGGAGGUAAAGCAAAAAACUUCAUGUCUCAUUCACAAAGAAAAUUCAUCAAUAUCGUAUUUUUUCUCAAACAGCGUUACUACUUUACCACUUUGUUUGAGUUCUGCUAAAGACUCAACCGUGGAAAAAUCCAUAGUGACAGUUUAUGAAAUAAUGAAAACCUCUGGGAGUGAAUCAACCUUUAGAAGCGCUGCAGUCAUCCGCCACUUUUCAUGAAACCAACUAUAGUUAUCGGACACUUCUCCGUAAUGUGGUAAUAGGAGGGGUAGAUUAUAUUCAGGGAGUCUCGCGAGCAUUUACUGUACUUUAAAUAGUGGCUGGAGUAAUGAAAGCUCCAUUACCGUACCACUUUAAAUCAGCCAACUCUCGUGGGACACCCUGCGUCAUCACAUACACAUUAUAGGAUAUGACGUGCGGUGCUGCUGGAAACUCAUGGCUAAGCGGAUAGUAGGUUGGCGGAAACCGGGAGGGUUUAAUGAUAAUAAUUACUAUCCUCGUAGAGGAAAACCCGUCGUGGCAAAUAAAAGUAUACAAAAAAAACCUUGCAUUGUUUUAGCACUAA
Aphis gossypii (cotton aphid) is the source of this 2157-nucleotide long non-coding RNA. RefSeq lists it as uncharacterized. The transcript has 3 exons. NCBI's taxonomy places the organism in Eukaryota, Metazoa, Arthropoda, Insecta, Hemiptera, Aphididae. The record is from RefSeq and is a predicted model, not a curated record.